This 342-nucleotide ribosomal RNA is filed under the name uncultured microorganism. Its description in RNAcentral is "bacterial SSU rRNA". It matches the Rfam family "Bacterial small subunit ribosomal RNA", at positions 346 to 683 of the family's 1533-position model. The record is from RNAcentral.
GUGCACCAGGCGAGAAUCUUGGGCAAUGCCCGCAAGGGUGACCCAGCGACGCCACGUGGGGGAUGAAGCCCGAAAGGGUGUAAACCCCUUUUGGUGGGGAGCAAGGGUGGUUCUUUUGAGCCACCUUGAGAGUACCCACCGAAUAAGGGCUGGCUAAACUCGUGCCCAGCAGCAGCGGUAAUACGAGUGGCCCAAGCGUUCUCCGGAAUUACUGGGCCUAAAGCGUCCGUAGGCGGCCUUGCAAGUUCCUGGUUAAAUCCUGGGGCUCGAACCCCAGAAUUGCCGGGAAGACUGCAAGGCUAGAGGGCGUCAGAGGGUGGCGGAACGCCCGGUGUAGGGGUG